This 445-nucleotide ribosomal RNA is filed under the name uncultured bacterium. RNAcentral's name for it is "bacterial SSU rRNA". It matches the Rfam family "Bacterial small subunit ribosomal RNA", at positions 420 to 882 of the family's 1533-position model. The record is from RNAcentral.
GGAUUGUAAACUCCUGUCGUUAGGGACGAUAAUGACGGUACCUAACAAGAAAGCACCGGCUAACUACGUGCCAGCAGCCGCGGUAAAACGUAGGGUGCAAGCGUUGUCCGGAAUUACUGGGUGUAAAGGGAGCGCAGGCGGACCGGCAAGUUGGAAGUGAAAACUAUGGGCUUAACCCAUAAAUUGCUUUCAAAACUGCUGGCCUUGAGUAGUGCAGAGGUAGGUGGAAUUCCCGGUGUAGCGGUGGAAUGCGUAGAUAUCGGGAGGAACACCAGUGGCGAAGGCGACCUACUGGGCACCAACUGACGCUGAGGCUCGAAAGCAUGGGUAGCAAACAGGAUUAGAUACCCUGGUAGUCCAUGCCGUAAACGAUGAUUACUAGGUGUUGGAGGAUUGACCCCUUCAGUGCCGCAGUUAACACAAUAAGUAAUCCACCUGGGGAGUA